RNAcentral lists this long non-coding RNA (602 nucleotides) under Ananas comosus (pineapple). RNAcentral's name for it is "long non-coding RNA (ACOM_LNC002667)". Lineage: Eukaryota; Viridiplantae; Streptophyta; Magnoliopsida; Poales; Bromeliaceae. The record is from RNAcentral.
AAUAUUUAAAGUGCACAACACAAAAUUUGAUAUCCAAAUCUAAAAUUUUAUAAAUUUUAUUACAUAUUCUUUUCUCUCUUUUUUUUUUUAGAGAUAGGUAACACGCUACCUGCUUCGUUUUAUUUCAUUUAGAAAUAAACUUAGCUGGAAAUAUGAAUCAACUAGGAUUCGAACUUGGGUCUCAGUUACCACUCACUAAAUCUUUUGCCACUUGCUCUAGGGACGAUCGAUAUUUUAUUACAUAUUCUUAAUCUACUGUUCUAGAAGCUGACCUUUUCUUCUAUAAAAAUCUAAGAACUUUUCCCUCUAGAGUCUAGACUAGAAUGCGUUUGGUUGGAGAACUAAAUUUUGGAGAACAACUUUUGUUGUUCCCGAGAACAGGGGAUAUUCCGGUACAAGAUAGAACAAUUGUAAAUUUGUGUUUGGAUGCAUUCGAGGAUAUUCUAGAGGAUAUCCUUAAUAGCGUUUGGAUAAAAAGUCUAGAACAACGUCUAAAUAUAUUUUUAAAAAUAAAAUAAUUAAUUUAUAUUAGUAUAUUUUAUAUAAAAUUAUUUAUAAAAUUAUUUCAUAUAGUAAUUUAUAAUAUAAUAUUUUAUGUAAGA